This 253-nucleotide ribosomal RNA is filed under the name uncultured bacterium. RNAcentral describes it as "partial 16S ribosomal RNA". It matches the Rfam family "Bacterial small subunit ribosomal RNA", at positions 524 to 776 of the family's 1533-position model. The record is from RNAcentral.
UACGAAGGGGGCUAGCGUUGCUCGGAAUCACUGGGCGUAAAGCGCUCGUAGGCGGCCUCUUAAGUCGGUGGUGAAAUCCUGGAGCUCAACUCCAGAACUGCCUUCGAUACUGAGAGUCUCGAGUCCGAGAGAGGUGAGUGGAACUGCGAGUGUAGAGGUGAAAUUCGUAGAUAUUCGCAAGAACACCAGUGGCGAAGGCGGCUCACUGGCACGGUACUGACGCUGAGGUGCGAAAGCGUGGGGAGCAAACAGG